CACACGACUCUCGGCAACGGAUAUCUCGGCUCUCGCAUCGAUGAAGAACGUAGCGAAAUGCGAUACCUGGUGUGAAUUGCAGAAUCCCGCGAACCAUCGAGUCUUUGAACGCAAGUUGCGCCCGAGGCCACCAGGCUAAGGGCACGCCUGCCUGGGCGUCACGC
RNAcentral lists this ribosomal RNA (164 nucleotides) under Achnatherum calamagrostis. Its description in RNAcentral is "5.8S ribosomal RNA". It matches the Rfam family "5.8S ribosomal RNA". Rfam says of the family: 5.8S ribosomal RNA (5.8S rRNA) is a component of the large subunit of the eukaryotic ribosome. It is transcribed by RNA polymerase I as part of the 45S precursor that also contains 18S and 28S rRNA. Functionally, it is thought that 5.8S rRNA may be involved in ribosome translocation. The record is from RNAcentral. Lineage: Eukaryota; Viridiplantae; Streptophyta; Magnoliopsida; Poales; Poaceae.